AGGGGGGGGAAUUUGAGAAAGAGUAGUCCUGAGAUGUCCUAUAAAAUGUACAUUCCUUUGAUGGAAAACUUUAUAAUGCAGAAAAACCUCAAGAAAUAGUGCUUGAAACCAUUUUAUGCUAUUAGUGAAUGUUUCUACGUGAUGCAUGUAAUCAGCCUGUCUCUUUUGCCUGGAUAGGGAGUAUUUGCAGUCGUGUUGCUCAUGAAAAGUGGGGUUGGCAUCACUGUUCUCCAGUUUCUCCUCCCUCCUCAGGUCAGUGUUAUUGUUAAAGAAAAGCAAUCAAACCACGUUGCUCUCUGUGCCAAUCUUCAGUUGUGUUAUUUUUCCUUUUGGUGGCUGCUUGGCUGUAUCCCUUCACCCCACCAACGAAUCCAAAAACUGCGGUGGAGAUCUCCUCCUGCCCUGCAUAAGCACGGGCAAUCUUUUGUUGGAGGGUGCCUUUUUUUGUACUAAAUGUUACAAGUUUUAUUCCUGAGAUGGACUCUGCCUUACACUUUGAUUUUCCAGCAGAUGAAAGAGAGAGCUAUCCUGUAGAGUAUUACUUUCUCCCCCUCUCCUUGCUAGCUGUCACUCACUUUCUUCCUUCUUUGUAAAGUGAUUGGAAAAGGAAUCUAUGGCAUUCUACACCUGGACCAUUUGAUUGUUUCCUUAUUUUGGAAUUGGUGUAUAUCAUGCAGCCUUGCAGACAUAUGUCUUGUGUGUGUAUAUAUAUUAAAAAAAAAAUCAGUGUUUAAAUAAAAAAGGCCUAUGUACUUAAUCCUUUAACUCUGCAGCAGCAUUUGGUAGAUAGUAAUUAACUGUGAAUAAUAAAUAUACAUUGAAUUCUUCACUUGAGCAUCUGUCUGUUAUUUCAGCUGACCAAAAUAUAGCUGGUCGAGGUAAUUUAUAAGUGCUCAGCCUCUGUAGCAUCGCGGUUAGAUCUCAGCACGCCUAGCCAAAGUCAUGUUGCUCUUUCAAUCUGUCAACCAAGAAACUUAACCACAUGCGCUGGUGUGAAUAGCGGAGGGGGGAGAGGAGCAAUCAGGUCGCUGUCAGAAUGGCAAACAGUAUCUAUUAGUGGAGCGGGAGGGUGGCACUUGAGCCUUUCUUCCUCUGCUUUUUUUCUCAGCUCUUUUCGUAACCACUCGAGCGGCCCUGUGGUGCUGACUCUAACGCAGUAAGGAGCCAGUACUGGAGGGCGAUACGCUGGUUAUUUCUGGAGCGUCUGCUAAAGGACAGAGGGAAAGAUGAGCAUUUGACUUGUGCAACACCAGCACCUCCAGCUCAGACCGUCGCAGAAGCUUUGGCUCUGCGUGGUCAGUGCCUGACAGCUCAUUUUUAAUUUUCUUGCCUAAAGAAAUGGAAGAGAUGGGCUGUGCUAACGAGGGCUGUGGGUGGCUCUGCAGGUCGCUUCAAAAGCUGCUCCCUUGGCUCUGCCGCUUCUCGCCAGCCUUCUCUUACAGGCAGACAACGCCUCUGCCUUUUGUAGUGGGUUUUACCGUACAAUAGGAAGAGGCCCACUGACAUAACAGGCCUUUAGUGGUUACUCCUAGUUCUGAUCAAAUACAGAUAGUAGUCAAGGAGUGAAGCAGAAACGCUGGCGUCUGCCCGUUACUAAUUUUCAUUUGCACCAGUGAAGUCAGUACAGAAAUUACUCACAGUAUGGCUUGAAGUUUUGGGCACUUUUUUACAAUGCUGUAGCAGGACAUGCUCGGGAGUGUGUUAAUUCGUACCUUAAGAAGUUUGGCAAAACUUUUGUGCUUUAUGAAGAGAAGCAACGUGCCUGCUGCUGUGAUGGUAGAUUCUGGUUAAGGAACCAUAAGCUCUGCACUUAGUGGCUCUGCUCAGCCCUGCUGUUCCCCUCACCCCACCUCCCCAGCACCCCAGGGGCGCUGCUCGCCCUCCCUCAGCCCCGCGGCGCCUUCGUUUCCCGACCCCCGUGCAGCGGGAGGGGGCGGCGGGGCCCCGUC
This 1949-nucleotide long non-coding RNA is filed under the name Cairina moschata (Muscovy duck). RNAcentral describes it as "domestica (muscovy Duck (domestic type)) lncRNA (ENSCMMG00000013777.1)". The record is from RNAcentral. Lineage: Eukaryota; Metazoa; Chordata; Aves; Anseriformes; Anatidae.